Molecule: long non-coding RNA, 1256 nt
Organism: Gasterosteus aculeatus aculeatus (three-spined stickleback)
Lineage: Eukaryota; Metazoa; Chordata; Actinopteri; Perciformes; Gasterosteidae
Source: Ensembl
CUUGUCUCCGAACGUAUACCACAGGGCUGACGGACAGCACUGUGGCCGAAUCGCUUCCUCAGCUGUGGAGGUCUGCUCUAAUCCAGGAUGAGUUUCCCUGAAGCACAACGUGCAGCUUGUAUCAAAGUUCCUGACCGAGCAGGAGAACCCACUCUCAAUCUCCCCAACCUCUUACUCAAAGUGCAGCCAUGGAGCCAAGGAUGAAAGCAUCCCACUCAAGGUACAUCAUUAUUCAAAGGAAGCUGCCUCCACAGCAGGGGUCGCCACACCCUUCCCCUUAAGACGGAGUCCCCACAGGGAUCACCGCAAACUCCACAAAAAAAAACAUAACUACUACCUCACCACCCUCUACAUUAAAACUACGCCCCACCUCUGCAACCAGAAACAAAGUCCAUCGCAUCAGACGCUGGUUUGGUCAGGUCUCUGUAGAUCGUGGUUCCUUCGGGACCCUGGUCCUGACACCUACCGUGGCCAUGCUGACGCCUGCUGCUGCCAUCAUCAUCAUCAUCAUUAUUUUUGAUAUUAAUCAUAUUACUUUACUCAUAAACCGACAUUACCCUCUCCUAAAAUCUCUGUGCUCUCCCUCCCCACAGGAUUCUGUGGAUGGUGGUUCUAUCUGAUGGUGGUUGCCUCUGCAGUGGUCCUGCUGUGCGCCUGGCUUACUACUCACAAUUACUUGAAUCAUUUCUGUCAUAGGAAUUGCAUGUAUUAUACAUUGUUCAUUCUGUACACAUGGCAUCCAUUGUAGUCUGUCCAUCCCGGGAGUGGGAUCCCUCCUCUGACGUUCUCCCUAAGGUUUCUUCCCUUUUUUCCCUGUUGGAGGGUUUUUUCAUUUUUUGGGGAGUUUUUCCUGUGCCGAUGGUGGGUUUCGGGGCAGAGGAUGUUGUAUGUGUACAGACUGUAAAGCCCUCUGAGGCAAAUUUGUAAUUUGCGAUUCUGGGCUAUACAAAAUAAAAUGAAUUGACUUGACUUGACUUGGUUUGGGGAGUGCAGCGAACUGAAAAAUGUCAAUGGGUUUUGAUCGGUAUACACAACUACUGGUUUUCCCCCAGUGCCGACAUAAACUUCAUUAAGCGCCAGUGUUUCCUUCUCUAUUGUUGAAUAGUUGCUCUGACAUGAAUUGAACUUCUUUGAGAAGUGGCUGAGGAACUUCAAGGGACCUGAAGGGGAACGGGAUCCAAGGAAGGCUCGCCGCCUAGCUUUGUGCUCCGGAGGAACUGAGGCUAAUUGCCUUCGUGAACACGACUACAUCUGAG